RNAcentral lists this ribosomal RNA (332 nucleotides) under uncultured bacterium. RNAcentral's name for it is "bacterial SSU rRNA". It matches the Rfam family "Bacterial small subunit ribosomal RNA", at positions 568 to 898 of the family's 1533-position model. The record is from RNAcentral.
UGCGUAGGUGGUCGGGUAAGUCUGAUGUGAAAUCUCGGAGCUUAACUCCGAAACGGCAUUGGAUACUAUUCGGCUUGAGGGUUGGAGGGGGGACUGGAAUUCUCGGUGUAGCAGUGAAAUGCGUAGAUAUCGAGAGGAACACCAGUGGCGAAGGCGAGUCCCUGGACAACUCCUGACACUAAGGCACGAAAGCUAGGGGAGCAAACAGGAUUAGAUACCCUGGUAGUCCUAGCCGUAAACGGUGCACGUUUGCUGUAAAAGGAAUCGACCCCUUUUGUGGCGUAGCCAACGCGUUAAACGUGCCGCCUGGGAAGUACGGUCGCAAGAUUAAA